Molecule: ribosomal RNA, 433 nt
Filed under: uncultured bacterium
Lineage: Bacteria
Description: partial 16S ribosomal RNA
Rfam family: Bacterial small subunit ribosomal RNA
Source: RNAcentral
AACGAACGCUGGCGGCAUGCCUAACACAUGCAAGUCGAACGAGACCUUCGGGUCUUGUGGCGCACGGGUGCGUAACGCGUGGGAACCUGCCCUUAGGUUCGGCAUACCUCCCCGAAAGGGGUGCUAAUACCGGACAAUGUCUUCGGACCAAAGAUUUAUCGACCUUGGAUGGGCCCGCGUUGGAUUAGCUUGUUGGUAGGGUAAAAGCAUAUCAAGGCGACGAUCCAUAGCUGGUCAGAGAGGAUGGUCAGCUACACUGGGAGUGAGACCCGGCCCAGACUCCUACGGGAGGCAGCAGUGGGGAAUGUAGGACAAUGGGCGAAGGCCUGAUCGAGCAAUGACGCGUGAGUGAUGAAGGCAGUAGGGUUGUAAAGCGCUUUUACCCGGGAUGAUAAUGACGGUACCGGGAGAAUAAGCCCCGGCUAACUCCGUG